UACAGAGGUCUCAAGCGUUGUUCGGAUUCAUUGGGCGUAAAGGGCGCGUAGGCUGCGGGGCAAGUCGGGUGUGAAAUCUCAGAGCUCAACUCUGAAACUGCACUCGAUACUGCCUUGCUCGAGGACUGGAGAGGAGAUUGGAAUUCACGGUGUAGCAGUGAAAUGCGUAGAUAUCGUGAGGAAGACCAGUGGCGAAGGCGGAUCUCUGGACAGUUCCUGACGCUGAGGCGCGAAGGCCAGGGGAGCAAACGGG
RNAcentral lists this ribosomal RNA (253 nucleotides) under uncultured bacterium. RNAcentral's name for it is "partial 16S ribosomal RNA". It matches the Rfam family "Bacterial small subunit ribosomal RNA", at positions 524 to 776 of the family's 1533-position model. The record is from RNAcentral.